AAAACCUACUACACCCCUAAUUUGUAUAACUUCACAACCUCUAGGGCCCUGUAUCGUCGGUUUUGGGUUGGGGCGACCACGGAGUAGAACAAAACCUCCACAAUGAACGGGACCACCACCUUAUCUAAGAAUCACCUUUCUAAGAAUUAAAAUAUUAACAUAUAUGAUCCAUUUUUUGAUCAAUGAACCAAGUUACCCUGGGGAUAACAGCGCAAUCCAUUUUGAGAGCUCCUAUCGACAAAUGGGUUUA
RNAcentral lists this ribosomal RNA (250 nucleotides) under Mantidactylus curtus. RNAcentral's name for it is "partial large subunit ribosomal RNA". The record is from RNAcentral. Lineage: Eukaryota; Metazoa; Chordata; Amphibia; Anura; Mantellidae.